This 1373-nucleotide ribosomal RNA is filed under the name uncultured bacterium. RNAcentral's name for it is "bacterial SSU rRNA". It matches the Rfam family "Bacterial small subunit ribosomal RNA", at positions 28 to 1381 of the family's 1533-position model. The record is from RNAcentral.
GAUGAACGCUGGCGGCGUGCCUAAUACAUGCAAGUCGAGCGAACGGACGAGAAGCUUGCUUCUCUGAUGUUAGCGGCGGACGGGUGAGUAACACGUGGAUAACCUACCUAUAAGACUGGGAUAACUUCGGGAAACCGGAGCUAAUACCGGAUAAUAUUUUGAACCGCAUGGUUCAAAAGUGAAAGACGGUCUUGCUGUCACUUAUAGAUGGAUCCGCGCUGCAUUAGCUAGUUGGUAAGGUAACGGCUUACCAAGGCAACGAUGCAUAGCCGACCUGAGAGGGUGAUCGGCCACACUGGAACUGAGACACGGUCUAGACUCCUACGGGAGGCAGCAGUAGGGAAUCUUCCGCAAUGGGCGAAAGCCUGACGGAGCAACGCCGCGUGAGUGAUGAAGGUCUUCGGAUCGUAAAACUCUGUUAUUAGGGAAGAACAUAUGUGUAAGUAACUGUGCACAUCUUGACGGUACCUAAUCAGAAAGCCACGGCUAACUACGUGCCAGCAGCCGCGGUAAUACGUAGGUGGCAAGCGUUAUCCGGAAUUAUUGGGCGUAAAGCGCGCGUAGGCGGUUUUUUAAGUCUGAUGUGAAAGCCCACGGCUCAACCGUGGAGGGUCAUUGGAAACUGGAAAACUUGAGUGCAGAAGAGGAAAGUGGAAUUCCAUGUGUAGCGGUGAAAUGCGCAGAGAUAUGGAGGAACACCAGUGGCGAAGGGCGACUUUCUGGUCUGUAACUGACGCUGAUGUGCGAAAGCGUGGGGAUCAAACAGGAUUAGAUACCCUGGUAGUCCACGCCGUAAACGAUGAGUGCUAAGUGUUAGGGGGUUUCCGCCCCUUAGUGCUGCAGCUAACGCAUUAAGCACUCCGCCUGGGGAGUACGACCGCAAGGUUGAAACUCAAAGGAAUUGACGGGGACCCGCACAAGCGGUGGAGCAUGUGGUUUAAUUCGAAGCAACGCGAAGAACCUUACCAAAUCUUGACAUCCUUUGACAACUCUAGAGAUAGAGCUUUCCCCUUCGGGGGACAAAGUGACAGGUGGUGCAUGGUUGUCGUCAGCUCGUGUCGUGAGAUGUUGGGUUAAGUCCCGCAACGAGCGCAACCCUUAAGCUUAGUUGCCAUCAUUAAGUUGGGCACUCUAAGUUGACUGCCGGUGACAAACCGGAGGAAGGUGGGGAUGACGUCAAAUCAUCAUGCCCCUUAUGAUUUGGGCUACACAUGUGCUACAAUGGACAAUACAAAGGGCAGCGAAACCGUGAGGUCAAGCAAAUCCCAUAAAGUUGUUCUCAGUUCGGAUUGUAGUCUGCAACUCGACUACAUGAAGCUGGAAUCGCUAGUAAUCGUAGAUCAGCAUGCUACGGUGAAUACGUUCCCGGGUCU